Molecule: transfer RNA, 73 nt
Filed under: Halalkalibaculum roseum
Lineage: Bacteria; Pseudomonadati; Balneolota; Balneolia; Balneolales; Balneolaceae
Rfam family: tRNA
About the family: Transfer RNA (tRNA) molecules are approximately 80 nucleotides in length. Their secondary structure includes four short double-helical elements and three loops (D, anti-codon, and T loops).
Source: Rfam by way of RNAcentral
GCCGCGUUCGUCUAGGGGUGUAGGACGCCGCCCGUUCACGGCGGUAGCACGGGUUCGAAUCCCGUACGCGGUA